This 401-nucleotide ribosomal RNA is filed under the name Panthera tigris tigris (Bengal tiger). Its description in RNAcentral is "partial small subunit ribosomal RNA". It matches the Rfam family "Bacterial small subunit ribosomal RNA", at positions 788 to 1384 of the family's 1533-position model. The record is from RNAcentral. Lineage: Eukaryota; Metazoa; Chordata; Mammalia; Carnivora; Felidae.
CACUAUGCUUAGCCCUAAACCUAGAUAGUUAACCCAAACAAAACUAUCCGCCAGAGAACUACUAGCAACAGCUUAAAACUCAAAGGACUUGGCGGUGCUUUAUAUCCCUCUAGAGGAGCCUGUUCCAUAAUCGAUAAACCCCGAUAAACCUCACCAUCUCUUGCUAAUUCAGCCUAUAUACCGCCAUCUUCAGCAAACCCUAAAAAGGAAGAAAAGUAAGCACAAGUAUCUUAACAUAAAAAAGUUAGGUCAAGGUGUAGCCCAUGAGAUGGGGAAGUAAUGGGCUACAUUUUCUACAACUAGAACAUCCACGAAAAUCCUUAUGAAAUUAAGUAUUAAAGGAGGAUUUAGUAGUAAAUUCGAGAAUAGAGAGCUCGAUUGAAUCGGGCCAUGAAGCACGC